Molecule: ribosomal RNA, 370 nt
Filed under: uncultured eukaryote
Lineage: Eukaryota
Description: partial 18S ribosomal RNA
Rfam family: Eukaryotic small subunit ribosomal RNA
Source: RNAcentral
CAAUAGCGUAUAUUAAAGUUGUUGCAGUUAAAAAGCUCGUAGUUGGAUUUCUGGUCGGAAGCUCCUGUCCUCUGAUGAGCGUACAAGUGCGUCCUACCAUCCUUCUGUUAACCUUUAAGGCUUUCGCGGCUUUCUAGGGGCUCAGAUAUUUUACCUUGAGAAAAUUAGAGUGUUUCAGGCAGGCUAGCGCCGGAAUACAUUAGCAUGGAAUAAUGGAAUAGGACUUUUGCCUCUUCUGUUGGUCACGAGGCUCGAGUAAUGAUUAAUAGGGAUAGUUGGGGGCAUUAGUACUUAACUGUCAGAGGUGAAAUUCUCGGAUUUGUUAAAGACUAACUUAUGCGAAAGCAUUUGCCAAGGAUGUUUUCAUUAA